Long non-coding RNA from Sander lucioperca (pikeperch), 477 nucleotides. RefSeq lists it as uncharacterized. The transcript is spliced from 3 exons. Lineage: Eukaryota; Metazoa; Chordata; Actinopteri; Perciformes; Percidae. The record is from RefSeq and is a predicted model, not a curated record.
CCGACUUGGCAGUCCUGCGUCGUGUAAAGGAACGAACAAGGAAUCACAAUGAACGUGUGAGAACAGUAUGAUGUGUGACCUACUUUUAUUUUGAACGGGAAAUAUUGCAGUGCAUCUCAUCAUGACUCCACGUGUAGGUACUUGUCGGAAGUGGUCAAAUGAGGCUAUGCUUACAUCCGCAGUAAAGGUAUGGAAGUAGGGCUGAGGCGAGCAGUAAACUAUCUGGUUGUAGAGCUCCUGCUCCCAAACCUGCCUCCCUGUCUGUGGAAAAACACACGACGCAGAGCACAAAUGAAUGUGUAACUUCCAUUUUCAGAGGGAGGCAGUGCACUGUUGGUCUUCUCCUGCUAUGUUUUACCGGGAAAAGAACCACGGGGACGGUGAGAGUGACGGCCACCAGCACAGCUAGACGCACACAGAGAACCAGGACAUCCAGGGGGUCCACUCGACUGUAGGUGUGUAACAGCUCUGACUCCA